This 585-nucleotide ribosomal RNA is filed under the name uncultured bacterium. RNAcentral describes it as "partial 16S ribosomal RNA". It matches the Rfam family "Bacterial small subunit ribosomal RNA", at positions 355 to 1375 of the family's 1533-position model. The record is from RNAcentral.
UGGGGAAUUUUGGACAAUGGGCGAAAGCCUGACCCAGCAAUGCCGCGUGUGUGAAGAAGGCCUUCGGGUUGUAAAGCACUUUUGUCCGGAAAGAAAUCCUUGGCUCUAAUACAGUCGGGGGAUGACGGUACCGGAAGAAUAAGCACCGGCUAACUACGUGCCAGCAGCCGCGGUAAUACGUAGGGUGCAAGCGUUAAUCGGAAUUACUGGGCGUAAAGCGUGCGCAGGCGGUUUGCUAAGACCGAUGUGAAAUCCCCGGGCUCAACCUGGGAACUGCAUUGGUGACUGGCAGGCUAGAGUAUGGCAGAGGGGGGUAGAAUUCCACGUGUAGCAGUGAAAUGCGUAGAGAUGUGGAGGAAUACCGAUGGCGAAGGCAGCCCCCUGGGCCAAUACUGACGCUCAUGCACGAAAGCGUGGGGAGCAAACAGGAUUAGAUACCCUGGUAGUCCACGCCCUAAACGAUGUCAACUAGUUGUUGGGGAUUCAUUUCCUUAGUAACGUAGCUAACGCGUGAAGUUGACCGCCUGGGGAGUACGGUCGCAAGAUUAAAACUCAAAUGAAUUGACGGGGUCAUAGCUGUUUCCU